Molecule: unclassified non-coding RNA, 330 nt
Filed under: soil metagenome
Description: partial contains 5.8S ribosomal RNA, internal transcribed spacer 2, and large subunit ribosomal RNA
Rfam family: 5.8S ribosomal RNA (bases 1-120)
Source: RNAcentral
GAUGAAGAACGUAGCGAAAUGCGAUACGUAGUGUGAAUUGCAGAAUUCAGUGAAUCAUCGAAUCUUUGAACGCACAUUGCGCCCUAUGGUAUUCCGUAGGGCAUGCCUGUUCGAGCGUCAUUACAACCCUCAAGCUUUGCUUGGUAUUGGACAUUGCCAGUUUCUGGCAGGUCUUAAAAUCAGUGGCGGUGCCAUUUGGCUUCAAGCGUAGUAAUUCUUCUCGCUUUGGAGAUCCAGGUGGUUACUUGCCAAUAACCCCCAAUUUUUUCAGGUUGACCUCGGAUCAGGUAGGGAUACCCGCUGAACUUAAGCAUAUCAAUAAGCGGAGGA